RNAcentral lists this long non-coding RNA (574 nucleotides) under Elaeis guineensis (African oil palm). RNAcentral's name for it is "long non-coding RNA (EGUI_LNC006316)". The record is from RNAcentral. Lineage: Eukaryota; Viridiplantae; Streptophyta; Magnoliopsida; Arecales; Arecaceae.
UAAAAGAUAAUCCGAAGAUCGAAAAAAAAAAAAGAAGGUACGCCUCCUCUUCUUUCCAUAAAUGCUGGCUCUUUUUCACCUAUUACGGAAAAUCUGACUUGAGCAUCAAAGGAUCUUUGCUGGAGCCAACUCUGAUAGAAAUUUUUCUUGCAGGUCCGACCACUGUCGACACACCGAACGUCAACUCGCUCCAAUACCUCUGGCUCAGGAUGGAUUCCAGACGCAACAGAUUGACGCUAGAGGAAGCGCCCUUACCCACUUUUGGAAAAGAAUGCACAACCCAUUGUCGUACUGCCGCGAAGAGUAUCCUUAGGGCAUUCUAACCCAAAGACCGCUCACCGACAGUAGUUUUGGUCGGAGAUUAUAAUCCAUGUGAGCUACCAGAGGCGUCCCCAUAAUCCUCUUUGCCGGUUCCCAGAGAAAACAAAGUUGGAAGGCCAAGUGAGGCUCUUGAGGAUGUUCAAUAGGGGACAGAAAAUCUUUGACAAGACAAGUUGGGAUAGUACGGCUAAAGUGGAUAGGGGUGGCCUCUCCCUAACGCUCUAUUCAUGGCUUCCUCCUUUGAUGACGGCAC